Molecule: ribosomal RNA, 483 nt
Filed under: uncultured bacterium
Lineage: Bacteria
Description: partial 16S ribosomal RNA
Rfam family: Bacterial small subunit ribosomal RNA
Source: RNAcentral
GAUGAACGCUAGCGGCAGGCCUAAUACAUGCAAGUCGAACGGAAAGUUUGAUAGCAAUAUUGGACCUAGAGUGCCGCAAGCGUGCGUAACACGUAUGCAACCUGUCCGCGACAGGAGGAUAGAUCCUCGACAGGGGAAUUAACCUUCCAUAACACCAUGAGAAGGCAUCUGAUUAUGGUUAAACCGCAAGGGUUCGCGGAUGGGCAUGCGGUUGAUUAGCUCGUUGGCGGGGUAAAGGCCCACCAAGGCGGUGAUCAAUAGUGGGUCUGAGAGGAAGGUCCCCCACACUGGGACGCAGAUACGGGCCAUACGCCUACGGGAGGCAGCAGUAGGGAAGAUUGGAGCAUGGUUGUAAGACUGAUCCAGCCAUGCCGCGUGGAUGGAGAAGGCCUUCUGGGUCGUAAACUGCUUUUACCUGUGAAUAAAAUACCCGGGCGCGGGGAAUUGAAGGUAACAUGGGAAUAAGCCACGGCUAACUACGUG